AAAUUGAAGAGUUUGAUCAUGGCUCAGAUUGAACGCUGGCGGCAGGCCUAACACAUGCAAGUCGAACGGUAACAGGAAGCAGCUUGCUGUUUCGCUGACGAGUGGCGGACGGGUGAGUAAUGUCUGGGAAACUGCCUGAUGGAGGGGGAUAACUACUGGAAACGGUAGCUAAUACCGCAUAACGUCGCAAGACCAAAGAGGGGGACCUUCUGGCCUCUUGCCAUCGGAUGUGCCCAGAUGGGAUUAGCUAGUAGGUGGGGUAACGGCUCACCUAGGCGACGAUCCCUAGCUGGUCUGAGAGGAUGACCAGCCACACUGGAACUGAGACACGGUCCAGACUCCUACGGGAGGCAGCAGUGGGGAAUAUUGCACAAUGGGCGCAAGCCUGAUGCAGCCAUGCCGCGUGUAUGAAGAAGGCCUUCGGGUUGUAAAGUACUUUCAGCGGGGAGGAAGGGAGUAAAGUUAAUACCUUUACUCAUUGACGUUACCCGCAGAAGAAGCACCGGCUAACUCCGUGCCAGCAGCCGCGGUAAUACGGAGGGUGCAAGCGUUAAUCGGAAUUACUGGGCGUAAAGCGCACGCAGGCGGUUUGUUAAGUCAGAUGUGAAAUCCCCGGGCUCAACCUGGGAACUGCAUCUGAUACUGGCAAGCUUGAGUCUCGUAGAGGGGGGUAGAAUUCCAGGUGUAGCGGUGAAAUGCGUAGAGA
This 706-nucleotide ribosomal RNA is filed under the name Shigella flexneri. Its description in RNAcentral is "bacterial SSU rRNA". It matches the Rfam family "Bacterial small subunit ribosomal RNA", at positions 1 to 696 of the family's 1533-position model. The record is from RNAcentral. Lineage: Bacteria; Pseudomonadati; Pseudomonadota; Gammaproteobacteria; Enterobacterales; Enterobacteriaceae.